GCAUAGUGAUAUUGCCUUCUCUCUCACCCUACUCUAAUAAGGUUUUGAUAUCUGGAGCUCAUAGGUGGGAGACAGAUAAUACAUACUUACAAGACAUUUAUUGUAUAGUCAAAACAUGGAUCCAGAAGAACAAGUCAAUAAGUCAAAUCAAGAUGUACAUGUGUGGCAAGUGAAUGGUGUAUGGUGAUGAUGGUGAUAACAAUGGUGAAAGUCUAAUUCUACUUUUGCUCUUUUAAGUGGAUACAUACCUUUCUUGCACUUUGAAGCUUUUUGAGGAGAAUGAGAUGCUCUAUAUAUUUUUUUUCUCUCAGGUGGGUAUCUUGUACCCCUAAUUCUACGGUCGGACACUUGUCCAUUUUUACCUCUCGUCUCACUUUUUCUUUUCUUCGAGGUUCCGGGCACUUGCCCCUUUUUAUUUCCUCGUAUCUUUUUCUCUCUUUUUUAGAGCACUCAUCUCUUGAAAUAAUAUAGCAAGUGGUAGUAACCAAGAUAACUUGAGCAUUUAUUUCAUAGGGAAAAAUAGAAAUAUUUUUGGCUAUUCUCUCCCGGAUUAGGAGUAGAAUACUUUUAGGUGAAUCUGGAGAUGGGAUUUAGUGGAUGUAUGUGGAUGCGUACUUCUGGAGUAGAAGCAGCAUGUAUGAGUGAACGUGCAAGUGAAUCUUGAUUUUAACCGCAUGACAAGCUCCUAAGGGUCUACACAGCUUGACCACACUCAAUGCUCAUAAGCAGUAAAAAGUAAAUGUGUGGCUCAAAGUCUAGCAAGCAUGUAUAUAUGGCUGUGGUAGGAAUUUUAAACUCUCAUUAUACAGGAACUCAUCAUGUGUUAUUUUAAAGAUUUUCAAAGAUAAAAUUCUCUAGAAUUCUAGCAUCUCUAGGAACAGAUAAAUAGCAGCUCAACCUUCCCAUAUCAUAUCCGUUAACGACUUAGACUUCAGAUCAAGUACUCUUCCCACAAGUUUAGGUUUAGAGCAGGUUUAAAUUAUAAUAGUUAUUCCUAAACUUGAGAGAGAGCUCAAACUUGAGAACUAGGUUCAUGGCAAAGCAACUAUUUAUCAUUUCUAUGUGAGAGCUUAUCAUGAGGGUUCAUAGCAAAAUCUAUUUAUUUAUUUAGCAAACUAAGCAAAGAUAUAAGCACAAAAUUUUUAUUUGGGUUUUCAUGAAUAUGCAUCUUUUUAUUAUUUGAGUAAAGUAUAAAUGCGAGUAGAAACACUUAGCUGGAUAAAUGGGGGUGCUCUCCCCAAGCUGGAUUUUGACGUAAUUUCUUCUGAUAUAGCUAGCAGGUGGCGGAGGUGUAUUUUAAUGUCGGCAGCACCUUGACAGCGAUUAGAAUAUCCUCUGUCUGCUAGUCUUCUUUGAUCCUUGAAUUCUAUGGAGCUCAAAUGGACAACAAAGCUUUGUGGAACUGGUUAAGUGUUAGCAUAAAAUCUCUUAGCCUUUAUCCUAUUGAGAUUCCUCCUAAUAAAUAUUACUUGAUAGGACAGGAAUAUAUUUAUUUUAUCUUUAUGCCACCACGGUGAAUGUACUUAUGGGUUUUAUGCCAUGAGGAUACUCACAUGGGGCUUACUAUAUUUAACAUUUUUAUUUUCUUUUCAAGAUAGCAUGAACUUGAUUAACUAAGCAAACUAUUUUAAAUAAUUGAAGGGAAAAGGGAUAACUACCAAGUUUACCUCUUGGCAAGGCGUUUGGUGUUUUUAAGUCCUCCGAACGGGACUCUCCGUUUUCUCAGUCGUCCUGGGAUUUGCUGGAUGGCGUAGUCGGUGGUUCCGGCGGCGCCUCCUCUUCGUGUAUAACUAUCUUCUUUUCCUGACUCGGUGCUACGGUCUCCUCAGGACAGUUCUGUUCAAGCUAUAUGUCUUCAGACCUUACCACUUCUCCUUUGUAGUCUGCCCAUCCGUCCUUGAUGAUUUUCCUCCUCUGGUUGCGGUUGCGUCAUCUUCUUCUCAUCCUGAUUUUGAUAGUGUUGAGGAACGGUCUUCCAAGGAUGAUGGGUGGAUCAUACUCAUCUUCUCCUAUGUCAAUGACCUGAAAAUCAUCUAGAGUUGAAUGUAUAUUGGUUGUAGGGACAUGGUUCCAUGCAGGAGCUGAUAAGUGACUGCGGUCAUUAUGUUGACGUCAGAUCCGGUGUCGUAGAGUGUCUUCUGAAAAGAGUAUCCGUUGAUUGUGCAUGUUGACACUUGCUAACACCACUUGAAUACUAGGUUGUCAUCCCCAGCAUGGCACUAGAGUGUACUAUGGUAUUUAUACGCACACAGAUAAUCCACAAGCGCACGGAUACCGUUGAAGCUUUUACCCGGUUAAAGGUUUUAUCGUAUCCACAGGGAAACGGGAGAACCAACUACGCUCUAACUUAACCAAGAUAAAUAGAUAAGUGUAAAUAGGAAAGAUGGUAGAAUCGAAAAAGAACAAUAUUAAAGGUAAGAUAACAGUGAGUGAUAAUAUGGGAAUAGAGAAUAGAGCAAUUAUAGUAUAUGGGCGAUGGUAGCAGAAUAGAGAGAAUAACUAUGAUUUCUCUACUUCAAAGGGGUAUGUCUAUGUCUGGGACGAACCACGUGAUAAGAGUACACCACAAAGGAUGCUUAUCCUUAGGCCGAUAAACCCUACCCGUCCUGCUAACGAGAUGUGGACUACAGGGGACCAACGUAACUGUCACCUACGCGGCCUACCACACGAUCCAGCUAGACAGGGGAUAUCCACAAGUAAUCUAGGUCUAAGCACCACGCUUACACCUAUACUACAACUCUCACCUAUAGCGUCCUAUAGAUUAGAAUACUCAAAAGAGUUGUGAACCAGAACAUACAUAAUUAGUAAUUGCAUAAUGAAUUAGAAGUAGAUUACCAGAGUCAUCCCAUGAGCAAGCUUGAUUAGAGCUUGAUCAUGACGAAGUACAACCGGAGGAAGAACCGACAGGCCGGCCUCUCCUCUAAUCCUCCUUCGCUCUCCAUCUCGCUACUAUCUAGAUCUACUCUAGUUUAGAGAAGAGAGGAGAGCUCUCAUCUCUAAACCCUAGCUUUUGCUCUGUCUAUGAAUAAUGAAUAAUGAUCAAGGGGUGCCUCCUCCAAGGGCUAGGGGGUCUGGUUAUAUAGUCCCCUCAAGUGAACCUGGGCCGUCGGAUCAAACCGACAUUGAUUGAACGGUUAUUCUUGAUCCUUUAGGUCGGUGGAGAUCUCCCGAGAGAAAGAGUCCUGAUUAGGCUCCAAGUCAGGGCGGGCGCCCUGCCUCUGGCCCCGUUCGGCCUCCGCUUCCUUCCCGUGGCUUCUGGAGUCUUCUAAAUGUAAGAUAAUUGCGCGGCACGUUAAUAUCUCUAUGUAAUCCCGACGUGUGGGCCUUUCUUCCAUAUUUCCUGAUAACCCCCUGCAGAAAUAGACAAACACCAAAACUCGUGGAAUUCUGUCAGAUGAAACCCUAAGCCUAGAUGUUGAUUUCAUUUGAAUCCUUUUCUUUGUUUAUUUGAUAAUUAAAUUUGAUACUUAAGGACCGUCAACAGUGCACUCGAUGCUUGGAACACCAGGGUUGUCCUUCUUAAUCAGGAAAGGCGACUUGAGUCGACGAUCUUGGCCUCUUCCAGCAAGGAUCCAAUGUUUUAAGUCUUCUGGACAAGACUUCUCACCGUGUUCAUCCUUUAGGUGCAUCAUUUGAUUAGGUGUGGACCUUGACAUCUGCAUCUCUUGAUACGGUGUCACCCAUGUUCUUCGUUUGUCCAGCAGUUCGAGGUGCGGCAUUGGCAGCAUCCUGCUCAGUGUGUUUGUGCUCGUAGAUCCAUGUCCUUCACUUGGUGGAGUCUGGGAGUUGUAAAACUCCUUCAGAUUUUGCUCGAAGUGUACCUGCUCAUAGAGACAAGGCAGAGAUCAAGUGCAUGGGCCCUGCUGGUGAAAAACACCAACAGAACCAAAAGUGUAUUUGUUCUUCUCUAACCUUAAACAUAGUGAGCAAGACAAAGUUGAUGGAUAAUAAGAUUAUGAGUGUAGCAUUUAAAACAUUUGUCAGAUCAGAUUGCUUGACCUAAUGGAAAGAUAAUCUAUCUAUAUUUAUGUUUUGCUUAUAUCUUCCAAAGAUUGAAUGUGCAAUGUUUUAGCUUAUAUGAUUAGGAGUGUAGGAUCAUGGAGGUAGUACUAGGAACAAAGAUUAAAGGACUAAACAUGUUGAAUUAAUUGAGUUGGUUAAUUUGGAGUUACAAAUCAUACAUGUUUGUCUCUUUAUUUUAUGUUAACGCCAGAACCAAGGAGGAGCUUAUAAAAGCGAUAGUCAAGUACCUUAAGAUGUUACCUUACUUGAAGAGUGAUGGUACAGUAUCACCUUGUGGAAGCUCUCCUUUCUUAGCGGUUGUGCAUCGUGGUUGUUGCAUUCUUUGUCUCGUUCCAUGGAUCAUCUCUCUAUGAUGAAUGAGCUAUGUCUUCCUUGUGCAAAUCGUCAAACUUCAUGUGUCUCCUUUAUCCCCAAUGUGAGUUUGUAUCUCAGGACUUCCCAGGUUGAUAUUGAAAGUUUUCCUGCAGGGGUUAUUCCGACAAAAUAUACAAAUGCCUACUCAAGCAGUUUUUAGUUCAGUAACCAAACUAGACUCCAUGUCUAAUCAGAUUAAGGAAGGCUAUUUAACCUAAGCACCACGCUUAAUUUAAAAGCCAAUAGAAGUAUGUACAAUACUUCCAAACUAACACUUACUAAGAUAAACAUAGGUAGCAUGAUGGCGUUUAUAGAGAUCUACUCAAGUGGAGAUGAAGUAGUGUGAUUAGUAUUUAACAAAAUGAGCAUGUCUUAAAGGUAGGGACAAUCAACAUAGCAACAUGGCAAAGAAUGUUUUUAUGUAAAGUACUCCCCCAAGCUUGAAUUUUGCAAAAUUCAAGUUUGGAUGAAUUCAAUGUUGUGUGAUGGUUGGUUGGACAUACCUUGUGCUUGUCAUUCAUUCGAUCUUCUUGCUCUAAUCCUGGAAAGGUUAGUGACAAGAAUACCCGAAGGAAAAUUUCUACAAUUAUCUUAAUAUGCACAAUACACAAGGUAAUGUUGCAAAUAAUUACAAGUUCAUGUUACGAUCUGAUAAGUGUUUGUUUUAGGACACUAAGCUUGUCCUUGGGAAACCAUCAAUUUAUGUCAGCGAAAUGGUUUCCCCUCCAAUGCUGACCUAUAUCAAGAUCAACGAGAUGUGCAAUAUUUAUUAUAGACAUAUGCAUCGACAACCGCCCUUUUAAAGUUUUUAUAAAUAGAAAGGAAGAGGGGGUUGGAGAUCUCAAAUGUGGUGAUGUUGGAGAGACCAAUUGAUGAGCAAGGACUUGGUGAGGUAUUUUUGAAAUAACUUCCAUGCUCAUUGUUGUUUCUGUCAUUCUCAAACUCCAAGGAUGAUUCUUCAUGAAUGCUUAAAAUUCCUCUAGGAUUGUCUCCCAAGUUUGUUUUAUCCAUCCACUCAAUGGUGAUAGCACAUGGAUUUUUAAUGCCCUCUAGCCAUUGAUGUUGCUCUUCUCGAUCCUUCUUGUGUUCUUGGUGACUCUUAUGCAUGGGAUGUCUACAGAGAUUCAUAGGAUUAUCGGGAGGUUCAAGAGAAAGAGCAUAGUAGAAAUUAUUAAGCUCAAGGAUGGGAUGGAUAGCCGAAUCAUGGGAUUGAAAUGUUUAGAAAUCGGCUAUUGAAACUUCCUUUCCUUGUCUGGGAGAUGAUUCCUUCUCUAUAUCUAGGAAUUUUUUAUGAAGACUAGUGCAAGAAGGAUGUCCACGAAUGAAGACAUACCCUAGGUCUUGUAGGGCUAAGUUUAAACCAGAAUUUAUAGAAAGAUUAAAAGAUUCCCUAGGUGUAGCUAAAAGUUCAUUAUCUUCUUGAUUAAAAGAUAGGACCUCGGCUAUAGAAAAAGGGUUGGUUUUGACCUAUUGCAAUCAACUCCGGACACAGAUCAUAAUUAGGGGCAAAGAAAGGACUUGUUGACUCCCAUGGUCUAUGGCUGGUCUCCAAAGGUGCAAAAAAUUCAAUAAUAGGUGUGGAAUUUGAGUUAUCCACAAAGAUGGAAAAAAUAACAAGAUAAAAGAAUAAAAGUAUAAAAGUAUAGUACAAGAUAAUAGCAAGACUUAAAGUUAUCUCAGCAAACCGUCUUUCUCCCCGGCAACGGCGCCAGAAAUGCUUGUUGAUAUUUGGUAACGCCAUCCGGAAAUGAUCCGCAAGCGCACGAAUGUCGGUAAGCACUUCACCCAGGAGGUUAUCCAAAGUAUGUAUUUAUAUUUUUACCACUGGGAGAAAGCGUGCAUCUGACUAACCAAAUCUAUUGCUACUACCCUUUAGGCUACAAAGAAUGUUUCUUGAUGUGAGCGAUGUAUAGAGAAGACUACAACCGUAGUCUCAUUCUAACCUUGGUAAGGAUGAUCUACUGUUCUAUUAGGGAGGCUCACGGAAUCUAGACACCAAAAAGGAUGUUCGACCUGCACCUAUAAACCCUACCCAUCCUGCUAACGAGAUGUGGGCUGCAAAGGUAACUCGAAAAUGUCACGUUCCUCGCUACUACCACGAUCCAGCUAGUCAGGGGAUAUCUAUGAGUACCCUAGCCCAAACACCACAUUUACGCUAGCAAUGAUUACUCUAAACUCAACCGGAAGAGAUUAAAGUAAACUCAUAAACCAAAGAACAAUAAAACAAGAACUUACUAGAAUUUAGAAGUCGAAUUACUGAAGAAUCCUAGGAGCAAGCCACAGAUUAGGAGACUUGAUCCCGCAGGUACAACCUCGGAGUAGACACCGAAAGGCCGGGCUUCCUCCGAUCUACACCUCCACUCUAUCUCUCUCAAUCUAGUAGAAACUAGAAGAUCUAAUUCUACUCACAUUGGAUGCUAAGCCCUAAAAAAUCUAUUUAGAGGAGAGUUAUUCCUUCGAGGGCACCUCUCAACUCUAUGAUGAACUUGUUCUCCUCCAGGGGCCAGGGGGUCUGGUUAUAUAGUCCCUCCAAGUGAAUAUGGGCCAUCGGAUCAAACCGACAUUGAUUGAACGGUUAUCCUUGAUCCUUUAGGUCGGUGGAGCGUAAUCCCCGAAGAGAGUCCUGAUUGGACUCUGGGACAGGGCGGGCGCCCUAGGGGGGAGGGUGGGUGCCCUGCCCCCGGGCCUGUUCGCCUUCUCGUUCGUUGCCGUGGCUUCUGGAGUCUUCUAGAUGACACAAAAUUGCACAGCACGUUAAUAUCUCUAUGUAAACCCGACGUGUGGGCCUUUCUUCCAUAUUUCCUAAUAACCCCUGCAGAAAUAGACAAACACCAAAACUCGUGGAAUUCUGUCAGAUAAAACCCUAAGUCUGGGUGUUGGUUGUAUUUGGAUCCUUUUAUUUAUUUAUUUGAUGAUUAUAUUUGGUACUUAAGGACCAUCAACACCAGGUAAUUGCAAGACUAAACACCACGUCUAAUCUAUUAAUUACUACUCUAGCGUUAUAAAGACUAGAGCACUUGAUGCAAGCGUGAAUCCAAUAAAUAACUUGAAUGUAAAUAAAAGUAAUUAAAGAACUCAGGAAUUAUGAAUUGAAGAACUUGGAGAACGAUGACGAACGAACCAGUUGCAGCAAAAGUAUAAUGUUGAGGAAGAUCCGACAGAUCCGGCUCCUCCUCCGCUCUCCUCUUCUCUCUCUCUCCCUAUUUUCUAGAUUACAACUAGAACUAACUAGAACUAGAACUAGAGGAACUAGAACUAGAACUAGAUAAACUAGAGGGAUCCUCUCUACUUGGAUGAAGAAUUGAAACCCUAGCUUUGAUUCUAUAGAAGAGGUAUGCCUCUAGGGGCCAGGGGGCCUUGCUUAUAUAGUCUUUUAAGAUGAAUCUGGGCCGUCGGAUCAAACCGACAUUGAUUGAACGAUUAUCCUUGAUCCUUUAGGUCGGUGGAGCAUGAUCCCCGAAAAGGACUCUGAUUGGGCACAGAAGGUGGGCGGGCGCCCUGGUCUCUAGGGCGGGCGCCCUAGGCCAAGCCCCGUUCUGCCUCCGCUUCGUUCUCGUGGCUUCUGGAGUCUUCUAGAUGAUAGAAAAUUGCGUGACACGUUAAUAUCUCUAUGUAAACCCGACGUGUGGGCCUUUCCUCUGUAUUUCCUGAUAACCCCCCUACAGAGAUAGACAAACACCAAAACUCGUGGAAUUCUGUCAGAUAAAACCCUAAGUCUGGGUGUUGGUUGUAUUUGGAUCCUUUUCCAUGAUUAGUUGAUGGUUAAAUGUGAGCAUUAAGGACCGUCAACAAGCUCCCCCAAGCUUCACCUUUGCUCGUCCCUGAACAAAGAUGAACUCAAGAGUUUCUGCAGUGGUUUCAUGCCUUAAAGAUAUACAUGCGUUCAAACAAGAUCUCAUCUCUGGGUUAGGGUAAACUGUUAAGAUUUAAACUUACUCAUUUUUCCUUCCACCAUGGGGCUUGCAACCGUCACCUGUGUCUUGAGCAGUUAAAAGAUAGAACGGUCUAGUCAAGCUCCAUGUCUCUUGUUCUUCGAUUAACUAUAGCUCUAGAGUUUUUUUGCAGAUUUUCAAAUAAAACUCAGAGAUUCCUUGUAUGACUCUCUUUAGUCUCUCUUUUGUGGUAUUUCUGGAUCCUUACCAAGGCAGUAAUGGUGUAUACCUUCUCUCAAAGUAUGUGGUAUUUUUUGUAUAAGGCAUAAUGGCAUUGCCUUCUCUCUCACCCUACUCUAAUAAGGUUUUGAUAUCUGGAGCUCAUAGGUGGGAGACAAAGUAUACAUACUUACAAGACAUUUAUUGCAUAGUCAAACCAUGGAUCUAGAAGAACAAGUCAAUAAGUCAAAUCAAGUGUGCAUGUGUGGCGAAUGAAUGGUGUACGGUGAUGAUGGUGAUAACAAUGGUGAAAGUCUAAUUCUACUUGUGCUCUUUUGAGGGAUACAUACCUUUCUUGCUCUUUUGAAACUUUUUGAGGAGAAUGAGAUGCUCUAUAUUUUCUUUUUCUUUUCUCUCAGGUGGGUAUCUUGUACCCCUAAUUCUACUGUCAGACACUUGUCCAUUUUUACCUCUCGUCUUACUUUUUCUUUUCUUUCGAGGUUUCGGGCACUUGCCCCUUUUUAUUUCCUCGUAUCUUCUCUCUUUUUUUUAGAGCACUCACCUCUUUAAAUAAUGUAGCAAGUGGUAGUAACCGAAAUAACUUGAGCAUUUAUUUCACAGGGGAAAACAGAAAUAGGAGAAUGUUUUUGGCUAUUCUCUCCCGGAUUAGGAGUAGAAUAUUUUUGGGUGAAUCUAGAUAUGGAAAUGAUUGGAUGUAUGUGGAUGCGUACUUCCGGAGUGGAAGCAGCAUGUGUGAGUGAACAUGCAAGUGAAUCUUGAUUUAACCACAUGACAAGCUCCUAAGGGUCAACACAGCUUGACCACACUCAAUGCUCAUAAGCAGUAAAAAGUAAAUGUGUAGCUCAAAGUCUAGCAAGCUUGUAUAUAUGGUUGUGGUAGAAAUUUAAACUCUCAUCAUACAGGAACUCAUCAUGUAAUAUUUUAAAGAUUUUCAAAUAUAAAAUUUUCUAGAAUUCUAGCAUCUCUAGGAAAAGAUAAACAACAGCUCAACCUUCCCAUAUCAUAUCCGUUAACAACUUAGACUUUAGAUCAAGUACUCUUCCCACAAGUUCUGGUUUAGAACAAAUCUUAAUUAAUAACAUUCAAGCCUAAACUUGAGAGAGAUUUCAAUUUUGAGAACUAUUCAUGGCAGAACAACUAUUCAUCAUUUCCAUAUGAGAGCUUAUCACGAAGGUUCAUAGCAAAUUUUAUUUAUUUAUUUAUUUAUUUAGCAAACUAAGCAAAGAUAUAUAUAUAAGCACAAAAUCUUUAUUUGGGUUUUUAUGAUUAUGCAUCUUUUUAAUAUUUGAGUAAAGUAUAAACAUGAGUAGAACACUUAGCUGGAUAAAUGGGGGUGCUCUCCCCCAAGCUGGAUUUUGACGUAAUUUUCUCCUGAUGUAGCUAGCAGGUGGCGGAGGUGUAUUUGAAUGUCGGCAGCACCCUAACAGCGAUUAGGAUGUCCUCCGUCUGCUAGUCUUCUUUGAUCCUUGAAUUCUGUGGAGCUCAAAUAGACAACAAAGCUUUCUAGAACUAGUUAAGUGUUAGCAUAAAUAUCUAGCCUUUGUCAUGUUGAGCCUCCUCAAUAAAUGUUACACUUUUUGGUAGGAUCAUAAAUUUUUUUUUAUAUUUUCAUUUUUAUAGCACAUAAAUAUAUUUAUUUUAUUUUUAUGCCACCACAGUGAAUGUACUUAUGGGUUUUAUGCCAUGAGCAUACUCACAUGGGGCUUACUAUUUUUAACAUUUUUAUUUUCUUUUCAAGAUGAUAUGAACCUGAUUAACAAAGCAAACUAUUUUAAAUAAUUGAAAGGAAAAGGAUAACUACCAAGUUUACCUCUUGGUAAGGCGUUCGGUGUUUUUAAGUCCUCCGAACGGGACUCUUCGUUUUCUCAAUCGUCCUGGGAUUCGCUGAAUGGCGUAGUCGGUGGUUCCGGCGGUGCCUCCUCUUCGUGUAUAACUAACUUCUCUCUCCACACCUAACUCGGUGCUACGGUCUCCUCAGGACUGUUCUAUUCAAGCUGUAUGUCUUCAGACCUUACCACUUCUCCUUCGUAGUCUGCCCAUCCGUCCUUGAUGAUUUGCCUCCUCUGGUUGCGGUUGCGUCGUCUUCUUCUUGUCCUGACCUGCUUAGGAUCUUCAACUAUAUUGUUAGGGUCAGUAAAAUAGCGGCGUACCUUCAAAGAGGGGAAGUGCAUGUGAACUUUCUCCGGUUCCAAUGUAGAUGAUUGCUUUAACGGUGCUGAGGAACAGUCUCCCAAGGAUGAUGGGUGGAUCGUACUCGUCUUCUCCCAUGUCAAUAACUUGAAAAUCUGUAUAGACAAAAUGAUCGUCUUUUUUGACAGGGACAUCAGUUAUUAUACCUUCAACCUUUUGGAAUGUCUGAUCUGCCAACUGGAGCUGAAUGUAUGUUGGUUUUAGUGGCAUGGUUCCGAACAGGAGCUGAUAAGUGACUGCGGCCAUUAUGUUGACGCUUGACCCGGUGUCGCAAAGCGUCUUCUAGAAGUUGUGUCCAUUAGUGGAGCACUGGAUGCUUGGGAUACCUAAGUCGUCCUUUUUGGUCUGAAACGGUGACUUAUGUCAACGAUCUUAACCUCCUUGAACUGCAGUGACCAUCUUAGCUGACUCGGUCCACAUUUGCUUGUUCCUGUUCCUCCUGUUGGUCCUCUUCCUUGGUUCAUGUCAGGAUUGCUCUGAGAUUUGUGUAGUCUUGUUCUUAAAGGAAAACGUCUCCUUCCUCCCCUUGAUGUAGAAACUGAUCUUGACAGCACUAGCGUAGAUGACAGCUCCCGAGGUGUUCAGGAAUGGCCUCCCUAGGAUGAUGGGUGCCCUCUCAUCAGUACCAGUCUCUAUCACCACGAAGUCUGUUGGGACAUACAAGGUACCAACUCGGACGCAGAGGUUCUUCGAUAUUCCCUUUGGAAACUUAGUGUCUGAUCUGCAAGCUGCAAACACAUGGUUGUUUCUCAUAAAGGAUGUGUAAAGAAUUUUUCAUAGAGUACCCUGGGCAUAAUAUUGACGCUGGAGCUAAAGUCGCAGAGUGCUUCUAGGAAGUCCACCAUGCCGAUGGAGAUGGGAAUGACGGGGCGUCCUGGAUCGCCUCUCUUGAUUUUGUUGAGGACGGUUGUAGUAGUAGUAGUAGUAGUAGUUGUUGGUGUAGUUU
RNAcentral lists this long non-coding RNA (11625 nucleotides) under Sorghum bicolor (sorghum). Its description in RNAcentral is "long non-coding RNA (SBIC_LNC016366)". Lineage: Eukaryota; Viridiplantae; Streptophyta; Magnoliopsida; Poales; Poaceae. The record is from RNAcentral.